RNAcentral lists this long non-coding RNA (1590 nucleotides) under Chlamydomonas reinhardtii. RNAcentral's name for it is "long non-coding RNA (CREI_LNC000673)". Lineage: Eukaryota; Viridiplantae; Chlorophyta; Chlorophyceae; Chlamydomonadales; Chlamydomonadaceae. The record is from RNAcentral.
CGGUCUGCCCCCGGAUGUUGAUGGCUGGGGUGUGUCCCUGAACGGCCUGAUGGGCAUGGUCGUCAUCGGCGGCCUGCUCAUUAUCGGCAUCUACUUCUCGCUGCAGCGCCUGGUGGUGCCCAAGCUGAAGUCGCUGCGCGAGGGCAAGAAGAAGAAGAACAAGACCAAGAUGAGCGUGGGCGAGUCCUUCGCCUUCCUGGCCCAGUCGAGCUACAUCCGCGACAUGGCCACCCUGGUGGUCGCCUACGGUAUCUCGAUCAACCUGGUCGAGGUGACCUGGAAGGGCAAGCUCAAGGCCCAGUUCCCCAACCCCAACGACUACUCGUCGUUCAUGGGCGAGUUCUCCACCGCCACCGGUACCGUGACCUUCACCAUGAUGAUCCUGUCCCGCUGGAUCUUCAAGCAGUUCGGCUGGGGUGUGGCUGCCCUGAUCACCCCCAUCAUGCUGCUGAUCACCGGUCUGCUGUUCUUCACCCUGGUGCUGGCCGGCGACACCGUCAAGCCCGCUCUGGCCGCCUGGGGCAUGACCCCCCUGUACGCCGCCGUGCUGGUCGGCGCCGCCCAGAACGUCUUCUCCAAGUCGUCCAAGUACUCCCUGUUCGACCCCUGCAAGGAGAUGGCCUACAUCCCCCUGGAGGACGAGGUCAAGACCAAGGGCAAGGCCGCCAUUGACGUGAUCUGCAACCCGCUGGGCAAGUCCGGCGGUGCCCUGAUCCAGCAGUUCAUGAUCAUCGGCCUGGGCUCGCUGGCCGCCUCGACCCCGUACCUGGGCGCCAUCCUGUGCGUCAUCAUCGUGGCCUGGAUCAACGCCGCCGCCUCGCUGAACAAGCAGUUCACGGCGCUGCAGGAGGAGACCGGCAUGUACAUCACCGGCGAGAAGCCCGCCAACAAGUCCGAGAAGAAGGACUAAGCGGCUCGGCCCUGACCGUGGUAGAGGGUCAGCCGUGACCAGACGCCCUGACGGGUCGGCCUGGGUGGUGGUGGUGUGUAGACGAGAGAGGUGAGAGAUCAGACGGCCUCGGCGGAGCUCGUGAAGAUUGGCCAUUGACGCAUUCAGUUGGUGCUGGAGACUCAUGACGAAGACACGGACUCAGGAGGACUGGUGGGCGCACUGCGGUCGGCACCCGGCGACGGCCUGUCUUGAGGAGUCGAGGGCGCGCGAUGGAGCAGCUGCAGCAGCGGGACGUAGUAGGGCACGUGCAUGCGCGACGCCGCGUGCGCGGUUUUAAGCUCUUGACUUGCGAGGGAGGGUGUGCUCUUGUUUUCCAUGGCCGGCGGGUAGAGAAAGACGCGUGUUUAUGACAUCUAUGGCAUGCGGCCCAGGGUCGGCUUGUGUGGCGUGCGAGACUUGGCUGGGACCAGUGCCGCCGGUUGCCAGCUGGCGGUGUUUGCCGACGGGGGCGCCGGCGGUCUGCCUAGACAGGCUCACGCUUGCAAAGCCCUACCCACCCGCUGGCAGUCUAUACAGAGAGCAGCAGGUUGGUGCCGUAGGUGCCAGAGCAAUUCAAAUUCUUUCUGAGAAACUCGAUUGGUCCGGCCUGAAUGAUUGCGGCCCAGCCCACCCUUGGAGAAGAACAAACGAUAGCCGGC